AUUCACAGGGCUGGGCUGUUAGCGUGCAGGGGUUCUAGCUCUCAGGUAAGUACAGUGUUCGAUACACAGGUAAGUAUUCACAGGGCUGAGCUGUUAGCGUGCAGGGGUUCUAGCUCUCAAUGUAAGUACAGUGUUCCAUACACAGGUGGGUAUUCACAGGGCUGAGCUGUUAGCGUGCAGGGGUUCUAGCUCUCAAUGUAAGUACAGUGUUCCAUACACAGGUAAGUAUUCACAGGGCUGAGCUGUUAGCGUGCAGGGGUUCUAGCUCUCAAUGUAAGUACAGUGUUCCAUACACAGGUGGGUAUUCACAGGGCUGAGCUGUUAGCGUGCAGGGGUUCUAGCUCUCAAUGUAAGUACAGUGUUCCAUACACAGGUGAGUAUUCACGGGGCUGGGCUGUUAAUGCGCUACUCACCACUGAAGAUAUUCAGAGGUCUGUAUUCCAAGCAGAUACGGGUUUAGUCGAUGACUGACGGCUGGUGGGCCUUACAGGUGAAACUGCAAACAAUACUGGGCUUCCCGCCCAGCUUG
Molecule: long non-coding RNA, 529 nt
Organism: Carassius gibelio (silver crucian carp)
Lineage: Eukaryota; Metazoa; Chordata; Actinopteri; Cypriniformes; Cyprinidae
Exons: 3
Source: RefSeq, a predicted model, not a curated record